This 27-nucleotide non-coding RNA is filed under the name Mus musculus (house mouse). The record is from RNAcentral. Lineage: Eukaryota; Metazoa; Chordata; Mammalia; Rodentia; Muridae.
UGUAGCUGCUGAAGAUAUGUUAACCUG